AGUUACUCCGCUCCUGUAACUGUUGCUAUUGAAUACACCACAAAAGUUCGAGGGACAACAUCAUAUCCACAGCAGGGAAGUGCCAUCAUUGGGUACAUGCCUAUUAUGCUUAGAAGUGGUGCCUGUGUUUUGAAUGGAAAGGAUGAAGAUGAACUAGCAAGAUAUGGUGAGUGCCCUCUUGAUCCUGGUGGUUACUUCAUUGUGAAAGGAAAUGAGAAGGUCCUUAUUAUACAAGAACAACUAUCAAAGAAUCGUAUUAUUAUUGAGACCGACAGUAAAGGAAGGGUGACUGCAUCUGUUGUGAGCAGCACACACCAAAAAAAAAGCAAGACCAUUGUUGUUAUGGAGAAGGAGAAGAUUUAUCUACAGUUGAAUCAAUUUACUAAGCUGAUUCCUAUAAUGGUUUUUAUGAAAGCCAUGGGGAUGGAAAGUGAUCAAGAGAUUCUACAAAUGAUUGGACGAGAUCCAAGAUAUGGGGACCUCCUGUUUUUAUCUAUUCAGGAAUGUGCCUCAGAGAGAAUAUAUACACAAGAGCAAGCUCUUCAGUACAUGGAUGGCAAGUUGAAGUAUCCGGAUUCAGGAAAUCUGAAGGAAAGUCGGUCAAAAUCAAUACUCCGUGAUGUUUUUCUUGCGCAUGUGCCGGUCAAUAAUGGGAACUUCAGAGCAAAGUGCAUUUACACUAGCGUAAUGUUAAGGCGCAUGAUGGAUGCAAUCUUGAAUGCUGACACUUUUGAUGAUAAGGAUUACGUAGGAAAUAAGAGGCUAGAACUGUCUGGUCAACUACUAUCACUGCUAUUCGAGGAUUUGUUCAAAACAAUGAAUUCUAAUGCUGUGAAGAGGAUGAGCGCACAAAAUAGUAAAGCCCAAACAGAUAGUUUUAAGCAGAUAAUAGAGAAGAAUAUUACCAUAACCUCUGGUUUGGAGAGGGCUAUUAACACAGGAAAUUGGGACAUAAGCCGAUUUGGGAUGAGUAGAAAGGGAGUAUCACAGUCUCUUUCUAGGUUAUCCUACAUUGCAUCUGUAGGCUACAUGACGCGCAUAUCACCGCAAUUUGAGAAGACUCGGAAAACAAGUGGACCUCGUGCGUUGCAACCUAGCCAGUGGGGUAUGCUUUGCCCAUGCGAUACUCCUGAAGGGGAACUUUGUGGAUUGAAAAAUUUAGCUUUGUUGGCUCAUGUUACAACAGAUCAAGAGGAUGGCCCACUCAUAAAUCUAUGUUAUAGUCUAGGUGUGGAAGAUUUAUCAAUUCUAUCAGGAGAAGAAAUUCAUGCACCAGGUUCAUUUGUCAUGUUCAAUGGAUUAAUACUGGGGAAACAUAGGCAACCUCAGAUAUUUGCUAAUGCUAUGAGAACAUUGCGUCGGUCAGGCUACAUUGGGGAGUUUGUAAGCAUUUUUGUAAAUGAGAAGCGGCAUUGCAUUCACAUUGCCUCUGAUGGUGGCCGUGUUUGUCGCCCACUUAUAAUCGCUGAUAAGGGGAGAUCAAGUGUCCAAGAGCAUCAUAUGAAACAACUGAGGGAUGGUAUACUCUCAUUUGAUGAUUUUCUGCGUGAUGGGUUGAUUGAAUAUCUUGAUGUCAAUGAAGAGAAUAAUGCAUUGAUUGCAUUGUAUGAGCAUGAGAAUCAAGAUGAUGUUCAGAGAAGCAGAAUCACACACAUUGAAAUAGAGCCCUUGACUAUACUAGGAGUUGUGGCUGGACUUAUUCCUUAUCCACACCAUAACCAAUCUCCACGUAACACUUAUCAGUGCGCAAUGGGUAAGCAAGCAAUGGGCAAUAUUGCAUAUAAUCAGUUGUUCCGGGCAGAUCCUCUACUAUAUUUGUUGGUGUAUGCGCAGCGUCCCCUGCUUACAACGAAAACAAUCAAGUUGGUGGGAUAUGAUAAGCUUGGGGCUGGGCAGAAUGCAACUGUUGCUGUCAUGAGUUACAGUGGAUAUGAUAUUGAAGAUGCAAUUGUAAUGAUUAAAUCAUCCCUUGAUCAUGGUUUUGGUCGCUGCAUAGCAAUCAAAAAGUACAAGGUCACUAUGCAGAAGUAUGGAAAUAAUAUAUCAGAAAAGAAUGUUAAACCAGAGAGGGAUAAAGAUGGUGUUUUGAUGAAAAAGAAUAUGCAGGCAUUGGAUGAAGAUGGAUUUGCGGAACCAGGUCAAAUAAUCCGCAAUCAUGACAUCUAUGUGAAUAAGAAAACUCCCAAGAUUAUUCCCGACAGUCCUGCCGUUAGAUUAACAGACAGGGAUUACAAGGACUCACCUGCUGUUUACCGAGGUGAUGAUGGCGAAACUACUGUAGUAGAUCGUGUAAUACUUUCAUCAGAUACAAAUGACCAAUUGACCAUUAAAUGUAUGAUCAGACACACUAGGCGGCCAGAGGUCGGUGACAAAUUUAGUAGCAGACAUGGACAGAAAGGUGUUUGUGGUACCAUUAUUCAGCAGGAAGACUUCCCCUUCUCUGAGAGAGGAAUAUGCCCUGACUUAAUUAUGAAUCCCCAUGGAUUUCCAAGUCGUAUGACAAUAGGCAAAAUGCUUGAACUUGUUGGGGGGAAGGCUGGCGUUUCGUGUGGUCGAUUUCAUUACGGCAGUGCAUUUGGUGAACCAAGUGGUAAUGCUGAUAAAGUUGAAGACAUGAGCUAUAUUCUUGUCAAGCACGGCUUCAACUAUCAUGGAAAAGAUUUAUUGUACUCAGGCAUCUUAGGCCAUCCUCUUGAGACUUAUAUCUUCAUGGGGCCAAUCUACUAUCAGAAGCUGAAGCACAUGGUUCUUGAUAAGAUGCAUGCUCGAGCUAGUGGACCACGAAUUACGCUAACCAGGCAGCCUACUGAAGGGCGAAGCCAUAAUGGAGGCCUGCGUGUUGGUGAGAUGGAGCGUGAUUGUUUAAUUGCGCAUGGUGCCAGCAUGCUAAUAUUUGAGCGUCUCCUACUAUGCAGUGACCCAUAUAAAGUGCAGGUCUGCGGAACAUGCGGUUUGUUGGGCUACUACAACCAUAAACUCAAGAUAUCAUUUUGUUCAUUCUGCAAAAAUGGGGAAAAUAUGGCCCAACUGACCAUGCCAUAUGCCUGCAAGCUUUUGUUUCAGGAACUGCAAUCGAUGAACGUUGUACCACGCCUGAAAUUAACCAAAGAAUGA
RNAcentral lists this ribosomal RNA (3114 nucleotides) under Triticum aestivum (bread wheat). RNAcentral's name for it is "partial small subunit ribosomal RNA". Lineage: Eukaryota; Viridiplantae; Streptophyta; Magnoliopsida; Poales; Poaceae. The record is from RNAcentral.